AUUAAAUCGUAUUUUAGAAUCAUCUAUCUAGCCACAAUAUGGAGAAAUGGAUUGGAGAGAUCAAGGCUCAAGUGAGGCAGAGCAAAUAAAAGGGCAGACAGAAAGCAGCAGGUAAUGCGCCUUAUAUAGAUAGCUUCAUUAAUGGUGUACCUAAGUCAACAGGGAAGAAAGUUCCUUGGUGGAAGGCACUAAGGAAGAAUACUACCUCAAGGCUUCAAGUGAUUGGUGGAGACAGGUACACUGAAGGAAGGACAGCUAUGUCAAGUGUUGAAGGACUUGCAAUUUUUCCCUCCCAAAUCCUCAGUAGUACAAAGAGGGAGAAGAGCCAAACAGCUGGACUGAUUCAUAGUUGGGGUUACUUACGCUGGUGACUGACUGAAACAGCGUCGCAUUAAGUAUUAAGAGAAAAGGCACAGAAAACCAAUGCAAGGACCACUAGAGACCAGAGAGCCGACUUCCGGGUUCCGGUUCCGGUUCCGGUUGGGCGGUGAGAAGCCCGCUAGGAGCUCGAACGUUGUCUUUGCUGUUGCCCGCGCACAGACGAAAAGCCGAACAAACUGAACCUCAGCACCUCUUCCUAGGCCAGUCAGAGGAGUCACAGGGCAACUCUUGCCCUCCCCCCCGCCCGACCCCCCUGACCCCCGCCAAAGGAGAGACACAUCCUUUCACAGAUACAUAGAAACCUACACAGGAACCGGUACCGGGUCACCCCAGGUAGCUGUCUCAUCGCAUCAGUUCUCUGUAGAUUCUCACUGCAUGGAGUGAAGAAGAAAUCACUGGAUCAGAUUAUACCUGCACAAAAUUUUCAGAAAAGAGAGAAAUACAUAUUUGGGGGUGCAGUCUUGGGAUGCUUCUUGAACGAGAUCUUACAGAGAGUCUGUCCUUUCAGACCCAUUGUGUCAAUCCAUUUCACAAAUUCCUCAGGAACCAGGCAGAAAAAGACUCUCUCUUCUCAGGGUAAUGGGAAGGGCUGUAUUGGUGAUCACAGUGUGCCUGGCUCAAGCUGGAGGGGGAAGUGGGGCAGGAGAAUUUCAGUGGCCUCUACUUGCUGGGGAGAUUUGGGGAUGAUACACCUUGUUUGAGCAUCAGUAACAGGGAACCAUGAGAGGUUUGGAGCAGCUCUCAGUUUUCUUUGGAUACUGCUCUUUACUACGAGAUAAAAGCAAUGUUAAAAAGAAGCUCCCUGUGAAAGAUCAAGAGUGGCAUUUAAUCAUUUAAUCAGCAGUUAUUUAUUAGUAGCCUCUUCUGUGUGUGAAAUUGUGUAGGCUCUGGAGAAUACAAUGAUAAAGCUCCUUUCCUGAGGGGCUACACUGAUUGGCAGAGGAAUAGGAGGAAAGCAAGCAAGGGUACCAUCUGACAUGGAGUCAGCAUUUAGUAAAAUUUGCUUAAAUGAAUGAAUGAGGAAGAAAGUGUUAGGGAUGUAUUAGUUUCAGAGGGCUGCCUUAUCAAAAAGUUCCACAAAUGGGAUGACUUAAAAACCACAGAAAUUAAUUUUCUCACAGUUUCAUAGGCUAGAAUCUUGCAGUCAAGAUACGGGCAAGGCCAUCAUCCUCCUGAAAGCUCUAGAGAAGGAUUGUUCUUUGACUCUUCCUAGCUUCAUUCUGGUAGUUGCCGACAGUCCUUGGUUGGCUGAUAGAUGCAUCAUUCCUGUCUUUUCUCUGUCAUCGUGUAAUGAUCUCCCUGUAUAUCUAUGUUUAAAUUUCUUUCUUUUUAAAUAGAUGCUAGUCAUUGGAUUAGGGCCCAUUUUAAACUGGUAUGAGUUCAUCUUAAUUUGAUUACAUCUGCAAAGACUAUUUGCAAAUAAGUUCACGUUCACAGAUAAUAGGCAUUAGAACAUGAACAUAUCUUUCAGGAGGCCAUGACUCAGUCCAUAACAAGGGGCUCUGAAAAAAUUUUAUAGAGGACAGAACCUCUCCCCUGCCCCUGCUGUGUGUGUGUGUGUUUGUGCACGCACACAUGCACAUGUGUCUGUGUGUGUGUGUGUGUGUGUGUGUGUUUAUGCAGAUGGGAGGGCAGGGGACAACUUCUAAGAGAAGAUGCAGCUUAGUUGACAUCUGAAAAAUAAGUAAGUUAUCCCAGGAAAUGAUGAGUAAGGCAGGCAUUGCUGGUAGUGGGAAGCAUCUGAGAGGCUGUAUCUAGCAACCUCACUGUGAAUACUGAGCUUCAGCCCAAGAAGUCAUUAGUGUGUGGAAAAAAAAAAAAAAACUAACCCACAUUCUAUUGUUCUUUAUUGUUUCAGCUGAUCCUUUUAUGCCUGAUUAUAUAUUUAGUUUUUUCACAUCUAGCAUUCUGUAUGUGAUGUUUAUGGUGAUGUUUUGGCAUGAACUUUUAUGAAGCUCAUGUUCCAAGCCCUUGGUACUCUGCCUCAAGUUCUGAGAAUCAGAAAUGACAAUGAUUACACCAUGCUAAUAAUGAAGAAACUUUCAUGUUGAAAAAAUCGAUAUUACUUUGUUUCAUUGUUACUUAUUAGUAAUUGUGCCAAACUAAAAUGAAUUGUCGUUUGGUUUCAAGUGAGAACACUAAAAAUGAAUCACAAGUACAGACACACAAGGUAAAGUACAAAAUACUGCAACAACAUCAAUUAAGUGCCUAAUAUGGUUUGUAAUUAUGAUUUUGAAUACCUGUUAAUCUUCAUGAUGGACUUCAAACAUCUUUGAUUUGAAUGGUCAUGUUUUUGGUUAAUGAGAGAUUAUUAAUGUUGCUAUAAAUUCUGCAUGUAAAAUAUAUAGGUUGUUCAACAAUAUAGAUUUGGAAUUGGUCAAAUAAAUUAUGAAUAAAUCUAUGUUAUGG
Molecule: long non-coding RNA, 2790 nt
Organism: Mustela putorius furo (domestic ferret)
Lineage: Eukaryota; Metazoa; Chordata; Mammalia; Carnivora; Mustelidae
Source: Ensembl